RNAcentral lists this ribosomal RNA (474 nucleotides) under Aeromonas veronii. RNAcentral describes it as "bacterial SSU rRNA". It matches the Rfam family "Bacterial small subunit ribosomal RNA", at positions 40 to 500 of the family's 1533-position model. The record is from RNAcentral. Lineage: Bacteria; Pseudomonadati; Pseudomonadota; Gammaproteobacteria; Aeromonadales; Aeromonadaceae.
CGGCAGCGCCUAACACAUGCAAGUCGAGCGGCAGCGGGAAAGUAGCUUGCUACUUUUGCCGGCGAGCGGCGGACGGGUGAGUAAUGCCUGGGGAUCUGCCCAGUCGAGGGGGAUAACUACUGGAAACGGUAGCUAAUACCGCAUACGCCCUACGGGGGAAAGCAGGGGACCUUCGGGCCUUGCGCGAUUGGAUGAACCCAGGUGGGAUUAGCUAGUUGGUGAGGUAAUGGCUCACCAAGGCGACGAUCCCUAGCUGGUCUGAGAGGAUGAUCAGCCACACUGGAACUGAGACACGGUCCAGACUCCUACGGGAGGCAGCAGUGGGGAAUAUUGCACAAUGGGGGAAACCCUGAUGCAGCCAUGCCGCGUGUGUGAAGAAGGCCUUCGGGUUGUAAAGCACUUUCAGCGAGGAGGAAAGGUUGGUAGCUAAUAACUGCCAGCUGUGACGUUACUCGCAGAAGAAGCACCGGCUAA